RNAcentral lists this transfer RNA (77 nucleotides) under Salinisphaera shabanensis. Its description in RNAcentral is "tRNA-Arg". It matches the Rfam family "tRNA". From Rfam's summary of the family: Transfer RNA (tRNA) molecules are approximately 80 nucleotides in length. Their secondary structure includes four short double-helical elements and three loops (D, anti-codon, and T loops). The record is from RNAcentral. Lineage: Bacteria; Pseudomonadati; Pseudomonadota; Gammaproteobacteria; Salinisphaerales; Salinisphaeraceae. RNAcentral also lists the same sequence under 19 other names.
GCGCCCGUAGCUCAGCUGGAUAGAGUGUCGGCCUCCGAAGCCGAAGGUCGCAGGUUCGAAUCCUGCCGGGCGCACCA